AUGGCGGAGGAGAGCCAGGCGCCGCGCUACGUGAAGCUCACCCGGGACCAGGAGGCGCCCGCCGAGGACAUCUGCCCCGGCGAGCUCAACCAGCCCGUCCACGUCCCACGGCCCGGGUGCAGAUGGUGCGCCGAGUGCGGCCAGGUCCUGCCGGAGUCCUACCAGCUGCCGGCCGACGAGCCCUGGAGCACCGGAAUCUUCGGAUGCACCGCCGACCCCGCGAGCUGCCGAACUGGAUGCUUCUGUCCAUGCGUGUUGUUCGGGCGCAAUGUUGCGGCUCUUAAAGAGGAUACCCCAUGGACAGCACCAUGUGUUUGCCAUGCCGUCUUUGUGGAAGGAGGGAUCGCCCUUGCGAUCCUGACAGCAAUAUUCCAUGGGGUUGAUCCAAGAUCGUCGUUUCUUAUUGGAGAAGGUCUACUGUUCAGCUGGUGGCUGUGUGGUACCUAUACCGGCAUUUUCCGUCAGGAGCUCCAGAAAAAGUACCAUCUCAAGAACUCGCCAUGCGACCCUUGUAUGGUCCAUUGCUGCCUGCACUGGUGCGCAAACUGCCAGGAGCAUCGCGAGAGGAGGGGCCACCUCGUGGAGAGGGAGGAUGGAGUGCAGAUGACCAUCGUCGACGCGCCUCCGGUGGAAGAGAUGGGCAUGCCAAGAGAGUCAUCGUGCUGCCUCUGA
Molecule: ribosomal RNA, 672 nt
Filed under: Triticum aestivum (bread wheat)
Lineage: Eukaryota; Viridiplantae; Streptophyta; Magnoliopsida; Poales; Poaceae
Description: partial small subunit ribosomal RNA
Source: RNAcentral